GAUAAACGCUAGCGGCAGGCUUAACACAUACAAGUCGAGGGGCAGCAUAGAUUGUAGCAAUACAAUUGGUGGCGACCGGCGCACGGGUGCGUAACGCGUAUGCAACCUACCCGUCACAGGGGGAUAAUCCGGAGAAAUCUGGUCUAAUACCCCAUAACAUAUGGAUCGGCAUCGGUUCAUGUUGAAAUUUUCGGAGGUGACGGAUGGGCAUGCGUAGCAUUAGCUUGUUGGUGAGGUAACGGCUCACCAAGGCGACGAUGCUUAGGGGGACUGAGAGGUUUUCCCCCCACACUGGUACUGAGACACGGACCAGACUCCUACGGGAGGCAGCAGUGAGGAAUAUUGGUCAAUGGGCGCAAGCCUGAACCAGCCAGGCCGCGUGCAGGAUGACGGCUCUAUGAGUUGUAAACUGCUUUUGUACGAGGGUAAAGUGGGUUACGUGUAACCUUUUGAAAGUAUCGUACGAAUAAGGAUCGGCUAACUCCGUGCCAGCAGCCGCCGUAA
RNAcentral lists this ribosomal RNA (504 nucleotides) under uncultured bacterium. RNAcentral's name for it is "partial 16S ribosomal RNA". It matches the Rfam family "Bacterial small subunit ribosomal RNA", at positions 28 to 523 of the family's 1533-position model. The record is from RNAcentral.